UACGGAGGGUGCAAGCGUUAAUCGGAAUUACUGGGCGUAAAGCGCACGCAGGUGGCUUAGUCAGUCGAUUGUGAAAGCCCUGGGCUUAACCUGGGAAUUGCAGUCGAUACUACUCGGCUUGAGUAUGGGAGAGGGCAGUGGAAUUCUCGGUGUAGCGGUGAAAUGUGUAGAGAUCGGGAGGAACACCGGUGGCGAAGGCGGGUCUCUGGGCAUCUCCUGACGCUGAGGUGCGAAAGCGUGGGGAGCAAACAGG
This 253-nucleotide ribosomal RNA is filed under the name uncultured bacterium. Its description in RNAcentral is "partial 16S ribosomal RNA". It matches the Rfam family "Bacterial small subunit ribosomal RNA", at positions 524 to 776 of the family's 1533-position model. The record is from RNAcentral.